CCUCCUUAUACGAUUUAGAACUUAUUUGUUCGUAGUGUCCACACAGAUGAUUGUUAGUUAGUUUUACCCUCUGGGUUAACUAAUUAAUAUGCUCUUUAAAAAUUUGGAAAAGCUGAUAAUAAAAUUCGUAUGAAUAACAUUGUUAUUUGUACAGAGUUUUCGAAAGUAAAAAAGAAUGAUAGCAGUAUCAUUCAGUGCCAAUUUAAUCCUCGGAUUAAUUGGUAUCUACUUUAGUAUUCAAUAUUAACUUUUGGCGAAGUUAAACUGUCACGAAACAAAGACCCGUUUGGGUUGUAUGGUUAAGUGACUAAGCGUACACGGUGGAUGCA
This 329-nucleotide unclassified non-coding RNA is filed under the name uncultured Pseudoalteromonas sp. RNAcentral's name for it is "partial 16S-23S ribosomal RNA intergenic spacer". Lineage: Bacteria; Pseudomonadati; Pseudomonadota; Gammaproteobacteria; Alteromonadales; Pseudoalteromonadaceae. The record is from RNAcentral.